GCUUAGAGAGGGGUCAAUGUCCUAUCAGCUAGUUGGCAGGGUAAUGGCCUACCAAGGCUAAGACGGGUAGCCGGCCUGAGAGGGUGGUCGGCCACACUGGGACUGAGACACUGCCCAGACUCCUACGGGAGGCUGCAGUCGAGAAUCUUUCGCAAUGCCCGAAAGGGUGACGAAGCGACGCCGCGUGUGGGAAGAAGGCCUUCGGGUUGUAAACCACUGUCGGGAGUUAAGAAAUGUAAGGGUGUUAAUAGCAUCCUUGCUUGACUAAGGCUCCGGAGGAAGCCACGGCUAACUCUGUGCCAGCAGCCGCGGUAAUACAGAGGCGGCAAGCGUUGUUCGGAAUUAUUGGGCGUAAAGAGCACGUAGGCGGCUUUGUAAGUCAGUUGUGAAAGCCUUCUGCUUAACGGAAGAACAACAUCUGAUACUGCAAGGCUAGAGUACGGAAGGG
RNAcentral lists this ribosomal RNA (448 nucleotides) under uncultured Planctomycetota bacterium. RNAcentral's name for it is "bacterial SSU rRNA". It matches the Rfam family "Bacterial small subunit ribosomal RNA", at positions 217 to 656 of the family's 1533-position model. Lineage: Bacteria; Pseudomonadati; Planctomycetota. The record is from RNAcentral.